AGUGAACGCUGGCGGUAGGCCUAACACAUGCAAGUCGAACGGCAGCACAGUAAGAGCUUGCUCUUACGGGUGGCGAGUGGCGGACGGGUGAGGAAUACAUCGGAAUCUACUUUUUCGUGGGGGAUAACGUAGGGAAACUUACGCUAAUACCGCAUACGACCUACGGGUGAAAGCAGGGGAUCUUCGGACCUUGCGCGAUUGAAUGAGCCGAUGUCGGAUUAGCUAGUUGGCGGGGUAAAGGCCCACCAAGGCGACGAUCCGUAGCUGGUCUGAGAGGAGGAUCAGCCACACUGGAACUGAGACACGGUCCAGACUCCUACGGGAGGCAGCAGUGGGGAAUAUUGGACAAUGGGCGCAAGCCUGAUCCAGCCAUACCGCGUGGGUGAAGAAGGCCUUCGGGUUGUAAAGCCCUUUUGUUGGGAAAGAAAAGCAGCAGGUUAACACCCCGCUGUUCUGACGGUACCCAAAGAAUAAGCACCGGCUAACUUCGU
RNAcentral lists this ribosomal RNA (491 nucleotides) under uncultured bacterium. Its description in RNAcentral is "partial 16S ribosomal RNA". It matches the Rfam family "Bacterial small subunit ribosomal RNA", at positions 29 to 506 of the family's 1533-position model. The record is from RNAcentral.